RNAcentral lists this ribosomal RNA (460 nucleotides) under uncultured bacterium. Its description in RNAcentral is "bacterial SSU rRNA". It matches the Rfam family "Bacterial small subunit ribosomal RNA", at positions 917 to 1382 of the family's 1533-position model. The record is from RNAcentral.
GCACCCGCACAAGCGGUGGAGCAUGCUGUUUAAUUCGAAGAUACGCGAAGAACCUUACCUAGACUUGACAUCCCUGGCAAAGCUAUAGAAAUAUAGUAGAGGUUAUCCAGGUGACAGGUGGUGCAUGGUUGUCGUCAGCUCGUGUCGUGAGAUGUUCGGUUAAGUCCGAUAACGAGCGCAACCCUCGUCAUUAGUUACUAACAGUUCGGCUGAGGACUCUAAUGAUACUGCCGGUGGUAAACCGGAGGAAGGCGGGGAUGACGUCAAAUCAUCAUGCCCCUUACGUCUAGGGCUACAGGCGUGCUACAAUGGCUGGUACAAAGAGAAGCAAUACCGUGAGGUGGAGCAAAUCUCCAAAGCCAGUCUCAGUUCGGAUUGAAGUCUGCAACUCGACUUCAUGAAGCUGGAAUCGCUAGUAAUCCUGAAUCAGAAUGUCAGGGUGAAUACGUUCCCGGGUGUU